UCUUGGUCAUUUAGAGGAAGUAAAAGUCGUAACAAGGUCUCCGUUUGGUGAACCAGCGGAGGGAUCAUUACCGAGUUUACAACUCCCAAACCCAAUGUGAACGUUACCAAACUGUUGCCUCGGCGGGAUCUCUGCCCCGGGUGCGUCGCAGCCCCGGACCAAGGCGCCCGCCGGAGGACCAACCAAAACUCUUAUUGUAUACCCCCUCGCGGGUUUUUUACUAUCUGAGCCAUCUCGGCGCCCCUCGUGGGCGUUUCGAAAAUGAAUCAAAACUUUCAACAACGGAUCUCUUGGUUCUGGCAUCGAUGAAGAACGCAGCGAAAUGCGAUAAGUAAUGUGAAUUGCAGAAUUCAGUGAAUCAUCGAAUCUUUGAACGCACAUUGCGCCCGCCAGUAUUCUGGCGGGCAUGCCUGUCCGAGCGUCAUUUCAACCCUCGAACCCCUCCGGGGGGUCGGCGUUGGGGAUCGGCCCUUUACGGGGCCGACCCCGAAAUACAGUGGCGGUCUCGCCGCAGCCUCUCCUGCGCAGUAGUUUGCACACUCGCAUCGGGAGCGCGGCGCGUCCACAGCCGUUAAACACCCCAAACUUCUGAAAUGUUGACCUCGGAUCAGGUAGGAAUACCCGCUGAACUUAAGCAUAUCAAUAAGCGGAGGAA
RNAcentral lists this ribosomal RNA (655 nucleotides) under Trichoderma virens. RNAcentral describes it as "eukaryotic LSU rRNA". The stretch from base 271 to 424 matches the Rfam family "5.8S ribosomal RNA". The record is from RNAcentral. Lineage: Eukaryota; Fungi; Ascomycota; Sordariomycetes; Hypocreales; Hypocreaceae.